Molecule: small nucleolar RNA, 74 nt
Filed under: Haliotis rufescens (red abalone)
Lineage: Eukaryota; Metazoa; Mollusca; Gastropoda; Lepetellida; Haliotidae
Source: RNAcentral
UUGUCACAUGAUGAGCUAAAGUUUACCGCCCCAGUCUGAAGUUUAAUGACUGAUUGGUUUAUAGCUGAUGACAG